This 874-nucleotide long non-coding RNA is filed under the name Mytilus galloprovincialis (Mediterranean mussel). Lineage: Eukaryota; Metazoa; Mollusca; Bivalvia; Mytilida; Mytilidae. The record is from RNAcentral.
GGGGACUCAAAUAAAAACAUUCCAGGGUUAUACGGUUAACGGUUUAUGAGUUAAAAAAACAUACCGACAAAUUUAUUCCGUAAAGGUACAUAACUCCUAUAAAAUUUCAUCGAAUCGCUUCGAUCCAAAUUAGCCAAAAAUUCCUGAGGAUGUAACGAACAAUUUGUAAAAAGAAUUUUGUCGCUUUCUUAUUUUGUUACGAAGGAGAUGCACACACAUGACAAACAGUGAAUAGGGAGAUAACUCUUACAAAGAAAAUGGUUCGGCUUAGCAGGGUGAAAUUUAAAAGCGCAUAAACUAUACGAUACAAUAUGAAAAAAAUCUAAGCGACAUAUUGCGAAACAAACAUUUAUCGCAAGAACAAAAUUUGGCGGAAAAAAAAAAAAAAAAAAAAUAAUAAUAAUCAGAACAAAUACAAUAGGCUUUCCACAGAAAAGUGGAAAGACCUAAUAAUCAGAACAAAUACAAUAGGCUUUCCACAGAAAAGUGGAAAGACCUAAUAAUAUGGAAAAAACUGGAGUUGUCGUUCGUUUUACGUUGAUAGGAUAGAUAGUACACAACCUACAUUCAGUUGUAAGUGGAGGGUUAAAAAAAAAGGGGGGGGGCAAAAGGGGGUCUCGGGGAGAUUUUUUUUUUUUUUUUUAUUAACGGAACAGAAUGGUUAAAAAGGUUUUUUACAAUAUAAAAUCAAUUGCUUUAAAAAAGCAAUUGUAGGGGGUCUUUCCCCCUUUAAAAUUAAUUGAAUUGGGGGGGGGGGGUUUUGGUUUGUUUGUUUGUUUGUUUGUUUGUUUCUGUAUGGGGUCUAUAUUAUUGUUACCGGAGAAGUUUCAUGUUUAGUUUGGAAAGUUUUUCUUUUAUUUUAGGUACAGCGCGC